Molecule: long non-coding RNA, 415 nt
Filed under: Cyanistes caeruleus (blue tit)
Lineage: Eukaryota; Metazoa; Chordata; Aves; Passeriformes; Paridae
Description: lncRNA (ENSCCEG00000024497.1)
Source: RNAcentral
CUUUCCUCUUAAAACUUUUUCACAUCCUGAUGAAAUCCUAAAAGUCUAAAAGCCGAGGUAAAGAAACACAUUUUAAAAAUGCAACAAUUCUUCCCUCUGCCCAUCCUGUUGGAAGGAGUUGCCUGUUCUAGAACACUUGCCACAUCAGAGGAUGAGAACUUGUGCAUGCACAGGUAAAAAAUGCCAAAGCAGGACUGAACACAAAGUCAUUUGCUGGAACAUUUAAUAAGGAGCAAAGAGAAAAGGAGUGAAUCAAAGGGAAAUUGCUGAUUAAUACCAAAGUGUAUGCAUAAAAAUAUAUGUGUAUGACUCAUCCACAAGAGAAAGAGAGACUCCAGAUAAAUUCAACUUGCUCCUGAAAAAGUGAAAAGUAGAAGGACUGUCUUGGAAAAUAAACUAACAAUCACUGGAUGCA